AAGGAUUUAAGUUAAGUAAACUAUUAACCUUCAAAGUUAAAAAUAUAUAUUUGUGUAUUAUAAGCCUUA
This 69-nucleotide transfer RNA is filed under the name Loxocephala perpunctata. Its description in RNAcentral is "tRNA-Trp". The record is from RNAcentral. Lineage: Eukaryota; Metazoa; Arthropoda; Insecta; Hemiptera; Eurybrachidae.